This 2652-nucleotide unclassified non-coding RNA is filed under the name Leishmania donovani. RNAcentral's name for it is "gene:LdHU3.22.0670(CDS-product:50S_ribosome-bindi ng_GTPase/Dynamin_family_putative)". Lineage: Eukaryota; Euglenozoa; Kinetoplastea; Trypanosomatida; Trypanosomatidae. The record is from RNAcentral.
CUGGUCGCUCGUCACAUUGGAGGUACAACACGCACGCAGGGAACGAUACGAAAUAAAGGGCGUGCUUCCGUGUGUGAGGCCUUGCAUUGUUGUUGUUCGGACCACUUUUUGACGGGUGAACUUGUGUGUUUGUGUGGGUAGGUGUGCGCGCACGUUGGUAGCCAAGAUCGUUUUGCUGAGUUCCUAGGCUGAUCUUUUCGUCGUUGUCUUUCCUGCAUCCUAUCCUCCUCCUCCUGGCGCGCUUUCUCAGUUUCGUCUGUCAGGCGGUGAGGCGGCGAGCGCCACUGAAACACGGCUGAAAAGAAAGCGAGCUGCAUGCAAGCGCCGUGGGGGGGGGUGGACGCAGAGACCGCCAACACGCACGGUCUACACGGGGAGCCAUACGGUUGCUCGCUGACGGUGUCCGAUUUGGCGCCUCUCCAUAUUCUCUCUCUCGCGCUCGCAUCCCCUUGUUGUGUUGGUGCGUGCGUGCAGGCUCUUUUUUUUCAAGCAUGUACCGUCGUCUCUCGCGCGUCGCCUCGUCGCAGGCGGAAAGUCGUCCCCGCACCGUUGCGUCUGCAGCGGGCUGGGCGCCGACGCAGUCCUUCAGCACCGCCCAUCCCCCACGCGGAUCAUUCAACAGCGGGGCCGUGUCAUGGCUUGUCGCGGCCUCGCGCGGCCUACGCAUGCACACCUUUGUGAUGGGUACCCCAGUCAACCGUGUGCAACGCCGCGGCUACUUCUCGAACGGGCCGCAUCAUCAAGAGCACUCGGUCAACCUUGACAGCGGUACAGGCAAGGCUACCGAUGGUAGUGGUGCAUCGGCGGCGUUGUCCUUGUCGUCCGGGGCGUCGUCGCACGCGGCUGUGCAGGCUGGCAUUGAGGCUGAACUCCAGGCGCUGCGCAGCAGCUAUCUGGAGCCGUACGACGGCGUGUACCGCUUCCUCACGCCAUUCAAGAGCACAACCCCGAUGGUGAUGUUUCUGGGCAACCACAGCUCUGGCAAGUCGACCCUUAUCAACUAUCUCUCUGGCUGCGAGAUCCAGGAGACUGGCGUCGCGCCGACGGACGACGGCUUCACGGUGAUCAAGCGCGGAACAUACGACAUGGACGCUGAUGGGCCUAGCGUGGUGAGCAACCCCAAGUACCAGUACCAGUCGCUCCAGCAGUUUGGCAUUUCCUUUGUGACGCACUUCAAGAUGAAGACGCGCGCAAUGCCGGCGACGUCGCAGAUUCCGAUGGACAUGGUGCUCGUCGACACGCCCGGCAUGAUCGACACACCCGUGCACGCAUCCUCGGCCGAGCAGGCGGGGAGCGGUGACCACACCCGCGGCUACGACUUCCUCGCCGUGACGCGGUGGUUUGCGCAGCAAAGCGACGUCAUUCUUCUCAUGUUUGACCCGGCGAACCCGGGGACCACAGGCGAGACGCUCGACGUGCUCACCAAGUCCCUCACCGGGUACGAGCACAAGUUUUUCUUGGUGCUGAACAAGGUAGAUGUCUUUGAGAAGGUGACCGAUUUUGCGCGGGCGUACGGGACGCUGUGCUGGAACCUCAGCAAGGUCAUGAAGAUGAAGGACAUCCCGCGCGUGUACACUACUUCAACACCGCUGAAGAAGCUGAACGAGGCGUCCGGCAAGCCGCCAACCGCGACGACGCCCGGCACCAGUACUGUGCCAGCGGCGGAGCUGUCACGCCAACGGAACGAGAUUCUCAAUGAGAUACGCGCUGCUCCGAUGCGGCGCAUGGACAACCUCAUCACUGAGACGGAGGAGAGCGCGCGCAACCUCCUCCUUGCCUGUAGGGUGUCUAAAGUGCUGCGGCAGGAUUACCGCCAGCGCGAGGUCUUCGUGUACUGUGCCCUCGGUGCGGCUUGCCUAAUUGGACCCGCAACAGCCGUGGCCCUCUCUUCCAUCACCAUUACCGGUACAGUGCUCGUUGCGCUCGUGUCCGUUGCCGUCGGCAGCGGCGGCCUCGCGGGGGCGCGGAUGCACCUGCGCGAGUUUGAGCACCGCUUGUUGCAGUCUUGCGACAACGCGCUUGGCCGCCUCUUCACAACAAAGACACGCACAAAGGACGUGGAGGUGCGCUGGCAGCGCACCGUGAGACCCGAGCUACUGCGCAUCGCUGCCGCGUCGCAUGAGAAAGGCUCCAGUGGCAUCAUGGCGCUGCCGUCGUGCUCGGCGCGGGCGUGCCGCGGGAUGCAAUACGUCAUUGACCAUGAGGUCCCAGCGCUGCGCCGCAGGGUGAGCGAGUACAAAGAGGACUUCUUCCAAGGGCGCUGCGCCGCAGCGCAUCACAAGUGAGCAGGGAGGCGCGCAGAAGAGGCCCCAGUGCGCACGCGCAUGCGUCCGUGCGCCGCUCUUUGCCUGCCUGCCUGAUCGCUACUCACCGCACCUUUGUCCGUUCCUGCGGUGCGCACUCGCGCUCUCAACAUCAUCGCCCACAUUCUCUCCAGCCCCGUUCUCGUUAGCCCCUCACGCCUGUCUGUGCUCUGCACCGCCGCACCGCCGCACCGCAGUGAGCGUGCGGAGAAGGCCGCGGCAGAAGAGUGCUUCGGCAGAGGCAAAGGGAAGGGAGGGGGAGUUUUGUGUGUGUGUGUGUGCGAUACUUCACGCCUAAGCACACUAGCGUGCCCAACGACAUAUUGUGGCUCACUGCAGUGAGCUUGUG